AGAGAGAUGUUUAAAGUUUAAACACCCCCCUGUGAAAACCCGCCGCCUGGGGGUAAAUAGGGAAUUUAGCAAAAGAGCGUACUUAAGUAAGUGCCAACCCUAAUUGGAAACUCAACGUUACUUGAUCUUAUCUGAGCAGGGAAGGCUGGCUUGGUCGAUGCCUUCUCAAGGCUCUCUCAGCUGCCCGCGUUGGUGACGGCGGAGCCAACCUUCGUCCUCCACUUGGACGCUGCCGGAGGCUCUGCCCCCAGUGGCAGGGACGCUGAUGCUUUGGGGCAUAAAGGCAAGGCCUUUUGUCGUCGGACCCUGCGGUGAAGACUGCCCGCGGUCAGAGCCCUUCGCUGUACUUUGUAUCGCUUGGGCGGUGAUGGCCUCGCGGGCUUGCCUAUACACAUAAAUCUUUAAUUCCUGGUUGCUUUAUUUCUUUUUCCCCCGAGAUAAUAAUGUGGUAUGAGUUCUCAAACUAUGGGACUCUGCAAAAGUAAGUUUGGACUCUGGUUUUGGUAUGCUCCAUGAACCUUGAUUCAUGGUAGGGAUGUGCUAUGCGUUUUAAUCAACUUAUUUGACGACGUUGUCCUUAUAUGCAAUAACGUCUCCACUGACCAGGACAUUGACGUAAAUUAGAAUUGUUGGCUCAAGGCUCAUUUGCUAACAUGGAGUUGUGGGGUCAGUCGUUUUUUGCUAAUACGAAUGAUCAAUGGGAAUGAUUGGUGUCAGUACCAGUUCGAUUCACCUAUGAAGGACGAACUGGAAAUAUUUACGUUUAUGGACAGUUCUGUGUCAACUCGUGCUCUAUAUUCUAUAACAUUUUUGUGGCAGUUUCCGUGCUGAUUCGCUAGGGUCUGUGUCUCUGGAAGGGUGUAUUUGAGUCAGAAUAGUUGCAGCUUCAACUCACAGUGGUUGAGGUAAAAUUCAACAAGAGGUCUUUCCCAGGAUGAAUAAAAAAUGGUGAUUAUCCGAAGUAGAGCACUUGGUAGUGAAGUUGGAAGUCCUUGUCCGUAAGGAGGUUAUGCAUGGUCUCACGCUCAAGAAGUUAACUUUAUCUCUUUUAUAACCCUAUCUCUCCUUGAAGUGUUCGACAAAUUAUGCUGUCGAAUCUCCAGCUGUUCGUGUUCUAAUAGACAGGGGGUCAUUUUUGCGUUGAAUUCCCAUUUCAAGCUUUUAGGUUACUGCUGCCUCUGCCUUUUCACUGUUAUAACAGCAUUAUUGAUCUGUACUCGCAUAUUGUUUCUUCAACAUGAAAAGGUAGAACAAGUUGUUUCCUCACUGAUUUUGUUAAUGGUUAUUUCCUUUACAUAAUUACAUAUUCAUAUGAAUGUGCCAUUGUUGGCUUUUUGCUCACCA
This is a long non-coding RNA of Prosopis cineraria, 1344 nucleotides long. RefSeq lists it as uncharacterized. The transcript has 2 exons. The record is from RefSeq and is a predicted model, not a curated record. Lineage: Eukaryota; Viridiplantae; Streptophyta; Magnoliopsida; Fabales; Fabaceae.